GAUGAACGCUAGCAGCAGGCCUAAUACAUGCAAGUCGAACGGGAUCCAGAUCAAAGCUUGCUUUGGUCUGGUGAGAGUGGCGCACGGGUGCGUAACGCGUGAGCAACCUACCCUUGUCAGGGGGAUAGCCCGGCGAAAGUCGGAUUAAUACCGCAUGACAUCAUUGAGAGGCAUCUUUCGAUGAUCAAAGAUUUAUCGGACAAGGAUGGGCUCGCGUGACAUUAGCUAGUUGGUAAGGUAACGGCUUACCAAGGCUGCGAUGUCUAGGGGCUCUGAGAGGAGAAUCCCCCACACUGGUACUGAGACACGGACCAGACUCCUACGGGAGGCAGCAGUAAGGAAUAUUGGUCAAUGGACGGAAGUCUGAACCAGCCAUGCCGCGUGCAGGAGGACGGCCCUAUGGGUUGUAAACUGCUUUUAUACGGGAACAAACGUCGGUACGUGUACCGGUCUGAGUGUACCGUAAGAAUAAGGAUCGGCUAACUCCGUG
RNAcentral lists this ribosomal RNA (490 nucleotides) under uncultured bacterium. Its description in RNAcentral is "partial 16S ribosomal RNA". It matches the Rfam family "Bacterial small subunit ribosomal RNA", at positions 28 to 507 of the family's 1533-position model. The record is from RNAcentral.